Molecule: ribosomal RNA, 275 nt
Filed under: uncultured bacterium
Lineage: Bacteria
Description: partial 16S ribosomal RNA
Rfam family: Bacterial small subunit ribosomal RNA
Source: RNAcentral
AUACGGAGGGGGUUAGCGUUGUUCGGAAUUACUGGGCGUAAAGCGCACGUAGGCGGAUUGGAAAGUUGGGGGUGAAAUCCCAGGGCUCAACCCUGGAACUGCCUCCAAAACUAACAGUCUAGAGUUCGAGAGAGGUGAGUGGAAUUCCAAGUGUAGAGGUGAAAUUCGUAGAUAUUUGGAGGAACACCAGUGGCGAAGGCGGCUCACUGGCUCGAUACUGACGCUGAGGUGCGAAAGCGUGGGGAGCAAACAGGAUUAGAAACCCCAGUAGUCCC